GACGAACGCUGGCGGCGUGCUUAACACAUGCAAGUCGAACGGAAAGGCCCUGCUUUUGUGGGGUGCUCGAGUGGCGAACGGGUGAGUAACACGUGAGUAACCUGCCCUUUACUUUGGGAUAACUUCAGGAAACUGGGGCUAAUACCGGAUAGGAGCUCCUGCUGCAUGGUGGGGGUUGGAAAGUUUCGGCGGUUGGGGUUGGACUCGCGGCUUAUCAGCUUGUUGGUGGGGUAGUGGCUUACCAAGGCUUUGACGGGUAGCCGGCCUGAGAGGGUGACCGGCCACAUUGGGACUGAGAUACGGCCCAGACUCCUACGGGAGGCAGCAGUGGGGAAUAGUGCACAAUGGGCGGAAGCCUGAUGCAGCAACGCCGCGUGCGGGAUGACGGCCUUCGGGUUGUAAACCGCUUUCGCCUGUGACGAAGCGUGAGUGACGGUAAUGGGUAAAGAAGCACCGGCUAACUACGUG
RNAcentral lists this ribosomal RNA (468 nucleotides) under uncultured bacterium. Its description in RNAcentral is "partial 16S ribosomal RNA". It matches the Rfam family "Bacterial small subunit ribosomal RNA", at positions 28 to 507 of the family's 1533-position model. The record is from RNAcentral.